GUGGAGGCGAAGGGCCGGCGGCGGGAUCGCGGUGCCGCCCAUGUCGCCCUUCUGCAAUGUGGACACCUGUGUCGGGCAUGCAUCCUAGGCCCACGAGUAGACCCUGUGCGGCCCACUAAGGGGCGUACUCGGACAUAAUCAAUACUAGGGGGCUAUGCGGCAAGAAGCGUAUUCCACUCGGACUAGUCAGGUGUGCAUAUGGAAACUACUCGGUCUACACCGAGUAGAACUCUGUAACCGUACCUGACUAGGAUUCAAACCUGUAGCCCUGCCCUCCCGAGUAUAUAAGGGCAGGCAGGGAGCCCCUCAAAGACAACUCUCUCAACACACAUCUAAGUUCAAUACAAU
Molecule: long non-coding RNA, 348 nt
Filed under: Setaria viridis
Lineage: Eukaryota; Viridiplantae; Streptophyta; Magnoliopsida; Poales; Poaceae
Description: long non-coding RNA (SVIR_LNC002288)
Source: RNAcentral